RNAcentral lists this ribosomal RNA (253 nucleotides) under uncultured bacterium. Its description in RNAcentral is "partial 16S ribosomal RNA". It matches the Rfam family "Bacterial small subunit ribosomal RNA", at positions 524 to 776 of the family's 1533-position model. The record is from RNAcentral.
UACGAACUGUGCAAACGUUAUUCGGAAUCACUGGGCUUGAAGAGUGCGUAGGCGGUUUUGUAAGUAGGGUGUGAAAGCCCCCGGCUCAACCGGGGAAUUGCGCCCUAAACUGCAAGGCUGGAGUGAGGUAGGGGUGUGUGGAACUUCUAGUGGAGCGGUGAAAUGUGUUGAUAUUAGAAGGAACGCCGGUGGCGAAAGCGACACACUGGACCUUGUCUGACGCUGAGGCACGAAAGCCAGGGGAGCAAACGGG